Molecule: ribosomal RNA, 253 nt
Filed under: uncultured bacterium
Lineage: Bacteria
Description: partial 16S ribosomal RNA
Rfam family: Bacterial small subunit ribosomal RNA
Source: RNAcentral
UACAGAGGUCCCAAGCGUUGUUCGGAUUCACUGGGCGUAAAGCGCGUGUAGGCGGUCCGGUAAGUCCGCUGUGAAAGUCGGGGGCUCAACCCUCGGAUGCCGGUGGAUACUGUCGGGCUUGAGUACGGAAGAGGCGAGUGGAAUUCCUGGUGUAGCGGUGAAAUGCGCGGAUAUCAGGAGGAACACCAAUGGCGAAGGCAGCUCGCUGGGACGUUACUGACGCUGAGACGCGAAAGCGUGGGGAGCAAACAGG